Long non-coding RNA from Meriones unguiculatus (Mongolian gerbil), 373 nucleotides. RefSeq lists it as uncharacterized. NCBI's taxonomy places the organism in Eukaryota, Metazoa, Chordata, Mammalia, Rodentia, Muridae. The record is from RefSeq and is a predicted model, not a curated record. The transcript is spliced from 2 exons.
GGCGCCGCUGCUGCCCCGCCGCCUUCGCCUCAGGAUGUGGAGCCGGGGCGGUGCGGCUGACUCCUCCUCAGCGGCGCCGGGGACGAGGCGUUUGGUGGCGACCGGAGGCGCUGGCUGAAUGAAGAACUCCUGGCCUUGCAGAUUCCCGGACCACCCGGCUUCCCGUCGCCCUUCCCGUGUCCCAGCUGGGCUGCAGUUUUCAAAAACGGAAGAUCGAAUUGAAGAGCUUCUUCAUCCAGAUUCCUCUGAGUCUUAUGUGCCCCUCAACAUCCUUCUUCCUGCUACUCACAGCUCCUUCUCCUCCAAAGUGGGAUGUGAGCUACAGCUGCGCUUUCUUAAAAAAUAAAUAAUAAUAAUUAAAAAAGAAUAAAAA